GGGGUUGUGGCUCAGCGGUAGAGCACUUGCCUACAUGUGUGAGGCAUUGAGUUCAAUCCUCAGGACCACA
RNAcentral lists this transfer RNA (70 nucleotides) under Marmota monax (woodchuck). RNAcentral describes it as "tRNA.Undet". Lineage: Eukaryota; Metazoa; Chordata; Mammalia; Rodentia; Sciuridae. The record is from RNAcentral.